UCAUAAUGUAGGCAAGGAGUUAUGGUUUGAAGGAGUUAAAAAGCCAUUUAGGUGACCUACAACAACACUGCAUACAUUAAGCAUUGCUCAAUGAUGUGGUGUAAGUAUCCAGAUGAAAAUAGGGAAUGUGCUUUCACAGGCAGCAAUGCCAGUGUAGUGGAAUUACAAGGAGACAGUGUUUAUUUGGCAUGCCUCUGCAGACACUGCUUCCAAGAGAUGGUGGCAGGUGUUUCAAAGGUGGCGUUUAGCCUGCAGAAGAUGGAGGCAGUGGCUUACAGUUACAAGCAGAAUCACAACAACAGACUGG
Mauremys mutica (yellowpond turtle) is the source of this 307-nucleotide long non-coding RNA. RefSeq lists it as uncharacterized. The record is from RefSeq and is a predicted model, not a curated record. NCBI's taxonomy places the organism in Eukaryota, Metazoa, Chordata, Testudines, Geoemydidae. The transcript is spliced from 3 exons.